AAGUCGUAACAAGGUUUCCGUAGGUGAACCUGCGGAAGGAUCAUUAACACUGUUUACUCAACAGUUUUAAACCCCAAACAUUUGUGUGAACCAGGAUGCUUUGCAUCCUGCUCUCUACCCUACAAUUUUUUUUAAACUCAUUAAUUUGAUUUCAUUCUCGAAUGAACUAAAAACAAAUGACAAAAACUUUUUUUCUCUCGUAGAAAAAAUUUUUUAUUGAAAUGCUGAACAACUCUUAACAACGGAUAUCUUGGUUCUC
This 259-nucleotide unclassified non-coding RNA is filed under the name fungal sp. RNAcentral's name for it is "partial internal transcribed spacer region". The stretch from base 1 to 46 matches the Rfam family "Eukaryotic small subunit ribosomal RNA", at positions 1786 to 1831 of the family's 1831-position model. The record is from RNAcentral. Lineage: Eukaryota; Fungi.